GUGGCUUUGCCACAAAUACGAUGUCAACUACAUGAUCAUGCAAAGCAAUACGACAAUGAUGGAGCGUGUCAUAAUAAACGGAACAGUGGAAAGCUGCAUGGCAAUAUAUCUCGGAAUGGCUAUGGAAAUGCCAUAAUAGGUAGGUAUGGUGGCUGUUUUGAGGAAGGUAACAGUCACAUACUUGAUCAUUGUCAAGCGAGUGAACAAAAUGUAGAAUACAGUCCAACCUUGAUACCCUUUGAUGAGAAACAUGAAGCUAUUUACGCGACGCAACAUGCCCCUACGAACGAGACAAAUCUGGAAGAAUAUAAUCAAAGCAACGUAACAGUGGCUGCAAUUGUUGACCCAAUAUACACGACCGAAACAGAAUGGGUAAUACCUGGACAACAUGAUGCAGACAACACAGCUUACGAAAAGGCUGAAACUGGAUCUUUAAUUAAUGAAUGUAGAAAAUACGCUGAGGAAGCAAGGGAGCAGUACAAUGCACGGAAGCGUGCUGCUUAUCGGAAGAAAAAAGAUAAUGAUAUUGUCAACUUACAAGAUGAGAAUCAGCCUGUACUUGCUAAAACUGAUCAUAGGGAUCUUAUCAACGCUCGUAGGCGGGCGGCUUAUCACAAUAUCAAGCCAGGUUGUUUGGAUAAACAUAGUUUCAAUGGCUAG
Molecule: ribosomal RNA, 660 nt
Filed under: Triticum aestivum (bread wheat)
Lineage: Eukaryota; Viridiplantae; Streptophyta; Magnoliopsida; Poales; Poaceae
Description: partial small subunit ribosomal RNA
Source: RNAcentral